Long non-coding RNA from Homo sapiens (human), 1450 nucleotides. RefSeq lists it as uncharacterized. Lineage: Eukaryota; Metazoa; Chordata; Mammalia; Primates; Hominidae. The transcript is spliced from 5 exons. The record is from RefSeq and is a predicted model, not a curated record.
UAAUCUGGAACCUAGAGGUUCCAAAUCAAGGUGUUGGCAGGGCCAUACUCUCCCUGAAGGCUCUAGAGGUGAAUUUGGUCCUUGGCUUUCUCUUGGCUUCCAGUGUCGCUGCCAAUCCUUGGUGUUCCUUGACUUGUGGACCCAUCACUCCAAUCUGCCUCCGUUGUCACAUGACAUUCUACAUUCUCCUCGUGUGUCUGGCUUUGUGUCUUCUUCUUUUCUUGUAAGGACACCCAUCACAGUGGGUUAAGGGCCCACCAUAUUCCAGUAUCAUCUCAAGAUAACGGUGUGACAUAAUGGUGCGGCAGAGGUUAUGGCAGCUCCUAAUCACCAAAGACAAGGCUUGUCUGUGUAUUUGAUGGAACACUGACCUUUUCCAGACUUUAUGAACUGACUUCUAUGAGGAAAGAUCUUCACAUGCUGGGGAUGAAGUGGCAACCAAGAAGAUUUCUCUUGAUGCUGAGCUAUGCAGGCCUGAGAUAUGAGGUUACACAGAGUCUCACUCUGUGCCAGGCUGGAGUGCGGUGGUGCGAUCUCGGCUUACUGCAACCUCCACCUCCCGCGUUCAAGUGAUUCUCCUGCCUCAGCCUCUCAAGCAGCUGGGACUACAGGCGCCCACUACCACGCCCAGCUAAUUUUUGUAUUUUUAGUAGAAACGGGGUUUCACCAUGUUGGCCAGGAUGGUCUCGAUCUCUUGACCUCGUGAUCCACCUGCCGCGGCCUCCCAAAGUGCUGAGAUUACAGGCGUGAGCCACUGCGCCUGGCCAAGAAGAUAAUAGUAUUUCUUACUAUUAUUUAUUACUAUGUAAUGGCAUUGGUAGGAGAUCCAGACUGGAUGGCACCUCCAAUUAUCAGGAACCGGAGCCCCCUUCUUUUGGUUCUACCAUUCUCAACUUGUUGCUAUCAUUUCAUGGUCCUAGAUGGCUGCCCAGCAACUUCCACAUCAUAUGCAUUCCAGCAAGAAGAAAUGAAAAAUGCAGGGAGAGGGGUUAUUUAUCCUAACGUUAAGUCAGGACCAGGAAGUGGCCCUUGGCACUUCCGUUUAUGUCUGAUUGGCCAGCACUUAAUUGCCUGCUGCGCCUGGUUCUGUGGGAUACUGGAACGUUAGGCUUUAGCUGGGAGGCUAUGCAAGAGUUAAAAUUCCAUUUUCCGGGAUACGAAGAGAAUGCUUUUUGGAGGUACAAUGAGCAAUUGAACCUCAUGAACUAAUAAUGCAUCACAUUUUCUUUUUAAAGAUAAUAACUCAAGGUACACAUUAAAAUUUAUUUGUAAAAGGUGUUAAAGUAAAAAUCCCCCUUAACAUUCCACUCCAUAUCCAUUUUCCUCCACAGACUUAAUCACUGUUAACAUUUUGAUGCUUUCUUCUUUGUAUUUUCAUGUAAUAACAUAUCAUAUUUACUACGCACCUAUUCAACUGCCUUUUUUAACCAAAUAAAAAUGUUAUUACAUA